UGACAAAGUUAACGAAGAUGACUCCUGC
This 28-nucleotide non-coding RNA is filed under the name Bombyx mori (domestic silkworm). Lineage: Eukaryota; Metazoa; Arthropoda; Insecta; Lepidoptera; Bombycidae. The record is from RNAcentral.